RNAcentral lists this non-coding RNA (25 nucleotides) under Arabidopsis thaliana (thale cress). The record is from RNAcentral. RNAcentral also lists the same sequence under 7 other names. Lineage: Eukaryota; Viridiplantae; Streptophyta; Magnoliopsida; Brassicales; Brassicaceae.
CGCGCAUGAAUGGAUUAACGAGAUU